GACAGAGGUUGCAAACGUUGUUCGGAAUUACUGGGCAUAAAGCGCACGUAGGCGGUCCGUUAAGUCAUGUGUGAAAUCCCCCGGCUCAACCGGGGAAUUGCGCCUGAUACUGGCGGGCUAGAGGUCGAUAGGGGUGAGCGGAACUCCAGGUGGAGCGGUGAAAUGCGUAGAUAUCUGGAGGAACACCGGUGGCGAAAGCGGCUCACUGGAUCGAAACUGACGCUGAGGUGCGAAAGCUAGGGUAGCAAAC
This 250-nucleotide ribosomal RNA is filed under the name uncultured bacterium. RNAcentral describes it as "partial 16S ribosomal RNA". It matches the Rfam family "Bacterial small subunit ribosomal RNA", at positions 524 to 773 of the family's 1533-position model. The record is from RNAcentral.